Nothoprocta perdicaria is the source of this 294-nucleotide long non-coding RNA. RefSeq lists it as uncharacterized. The transcript has 2 exons. The record is from RefSeq and is a predicted model, not a curated record. NCBI's taxonomy places the organism in Eukaryota, Metazoa, Chordata, Aves, Tinamiformes, Tinamidae.
UUUAUUUGGAUCUUUCRCUAAGCUUAAUCCUAACUCUGAAAGUCUCGGGUGUGUAUUUGAAGGRUUUGGGAUAAUUAAGCUGUCUCUCUGCUGCAUUUCACUGCGAUGUAACCUUUCCUGUGCCUCCAUCUUAAGGUUCUUCUUCUGUUGUAUGUCACUUUGCUGCCGUAUAAGGUGUUUGAGGAGACUGUUCUGUGAAUCUCUCCUGCUCGCUGCCUGUCCGGAAAGUGGAUGUUCACAAUGUAUUAGAAACCUGAUAGUCUCUUCUUCCAAGCUCAUUUAAGACAAGAAAUG